Molecule: long non-coding RNA, 1215 nt
Organism: Canis lupus familiaris (dog)
Lineage: Eukaryota; Metazoa; Chordata; Mammalia; Carnivora; Canidae
Exons: 3
Source: RefSeq, a predicted model, not a curated record
GAUGCGCUGCGCUGUUUCGGGGCUUUGUCUUUAUUCACAACACAUUCACGUGUCUCGGCGGGGGGAGCAGGGAGGGGGGAGGAACUGCACAGUUGCCUGCCAGCCUGUCCUCUUUGACUGUCUGCCGAAUAAGCCGAAUUGUAACUCUCCAUUAGAGAGUGAUAGAUACUGAGAGAGGAGGAGAGGAGAGAGAGGAGAGGCAGGGAGGGAGACAGAGACAGAGACAGAGACAGAGACAGACGCCAGCACACCGAGAUACAGAGGAAGAAAAAACACGCAAAAAGGAGUGGGGCGGGGGGGGGAGAGAAAGGAUGCUCUCGGCACACUCCUAUGUUAGGUCUCUGUGCAAAGGCGGAAGGCUGCAGGAGCAGCAUCAGCUAGCUUUUGGGCAGUAAUUCUAACUAUUGCCCGCCAGCACCGUUGUCAGGACGACUUUGAAGAGGCAACAUAUCACUUAUGCGUAGCACACUCUAGUUCUGCUAAAACUGGGGGUGCAAACAGCCCCCUUGUUUUCUAAUUUAGCGACUUGCAUCUUUUUGACACUCAACUCUAUCGAGACACUGCUACUACAGGGUACCAGGAACUGGGAAGUCUAAUUACAUUGCUGUAUAUGAUCAGAGAUCCAUGAUAUUCUUCAUCAAUCUCUUUCAAAUUCAGAGCUUCAAGAUCAUUUCACUGUAAAGAAUUUAUAAAUAUCUCUUUCAAGUCCCAAGUUUUCUCUCAAGCAUCAUCAAGUGGAUAACCAUCACCAGCUGGAUUAUACCCAAUUGUUCUAACAUUCAAUAGCACAUUUUCUCUUUCAGACAUGCAUUCUUCAUUCUCAUUAAAGGGAAAAAAAUCCUAAAUAGUUUAGUGUUUUUCACACAAUUAUUGAAAUAACUAGUCUUUAGUUGUGAUUAUUCAUUUAUCUCAUAAUAAAGUGGGAUGGUGGCAUAGAGAUGAAAUUUUGUUGACAAUCCUGAAAACAAGUGCUUGAAGUAGAUUCAUCAUGAUGAGGGCUAAACUAAGACAAAUUUCUAUUUUGUGGUUGGAUACUUUUUAAACAAGAGAAAUAUGCAUUUGUUACACAUAUUUUUAAAGAAUUCAAGCAACACAGGGAUGAAUGAGGAGCAAACAGAAUAGUUUAUUUGAGUGAAAUAGUUAUUAGUUAAUAUACUGGUCUGGAUGUGCUGUAUCUGUUAGCUAUUGCUGCAUAAUAAACCAUUCAAAAUUUAA